UAAUACGGGGGGGGCAAGCGUUGUUCGGAAUUACUGGGCGUAAAGGGUUCGUAGGUGGCCGGCUAAGUCAGACGUGAAAUCCCUCAGCUCAACUGGGGAACUGCGUCUGAGACUGGUCGGCUUGAGUGCAGGAGAGGAACGCGGAAUUCCAGGUGUAGCGGUGAAAUGCGUAGAUAUCUGGAGGAACACCGGUGGCGAAGGCGGCGUUCUGGACUGCUACUGACACUGAGGAACGAAAGCCAGGGGAGCAAACGGG
This 256-nucleotide ribosomal RNA is filed under the name uncultured bacterium. Its description in RNAcentral is "partial 16S ribosomal RNA". It matches the Rfam family "Bacterial small subunit ribosomal RNA", at positions 521 to 776 of the family's 1533-position model. The record is from RNAcentral.